Molecule: ribosomal RNA, 492 nt
Filed under: uncultured bacterium
Lineage: Bacteria
Description: partial 16S ribosomal RNA
Rfam family: Bacterial small subunit ribosomal RNA
Source: RNAcentral
AGUGAACGCUGGCGGUAGGCCUAACACAUGCAAGUCGAACGGCAGCACAGUAAGAGCUUGCUCUUACGGGUGGCGAGUGGCGGACGGGUGCGGAAUACAUCGGAAUCUACUUUUUCGUGGGGGAUAACGUAGGGAAACUUACGCUAAUACCGCAUACGACCUACGGGUGAAAGCAGGGGAUCUUCGGACCUUGCGCGAUUGAAUGAGCCGAUGUCGGAUUAGCUAGUUGGCGGGGUAAAGGCCCACCAAGGCGACGAUCCGUAGCUGGUCUGAGAGGAUGAUCAGCCACACUGGAACCGAGACACGGUCCAGACUCCUACGGGAGGCAGCAGUGGGGAAUAUUGGACAAUGGGCGCAAGCCUGAUCCAGCCAUGCCGCGUGGGUGAAGAAGGCCUUCGGGUUGUAAAGCCCUUUUGUUGGGAAAGAAAAGCAGCAGGUUAAUACCCCGCUGUUCUGACGGUACCCAAAGAAUAAGCACCGGCUAACUUCGUG